GGGCUCGCUGCGGGCUGUGCGCGUUCGGCAAGGACUGUGGCUCCCAGCGACCAGGACCCUCCGCCGUCACCGCCUGAAAUCACCACCACCGCACCACGUUGCUAUUACCUGAUUUAUUCCCUCCAAGGAGAAUAUAAGCAGAGAAAUCACGUUUUAGUUGGCUACCAAGAAGCUGAGUCGGGUGGCAUGAUUUAAGUGCUGGCCAGCAGAAUGAUACGUCCGAGAAGUCUCUUGAAAAGAAAGAGGUGAGGCUCUCUGCCCUGCUCAUGAAUGAAUGGGGAUUUAAGGGUCAUUCUGGACCACGAGGAUGGCAGUCACGUUCUAGGGACCAUGCAACAGAAAGCUGGAGGGAGACUGGAGCCUCCAGGAACCAUUGUGUGCACCUAGACUGUCUGCUUCUGGUCUCAGUCUCACAAGAGACACUGUGGGCAUCAUCCUGUAGCUUUUAUGGAAGGAACGGAGAUGGUUGAUACAGCACUGUUGAUUAAAGGGCAAUCAGUUAUAAUGGAUGAACAGAGGUUUAGAACAAAGCCAAUUAGAUAGCUUGGCAGCGUAUCUCUUCACGUUAAAGACGGCUUGAGGAAUGUUUCUGUCCACAGGGACAAACUUCACUCUUAUAACCAGAAUUCAUGCAACCACUGAAUACAUCCUUUCCUAUCGUC
Molecule: long non-coding RNA, 662 nt
Organism: Fukomys damarensis (Damara mole-rat)
Lineage: Eukaryota; Metazoa; Chordata; Mammalia; Rodentia; Bathyergidae
Exons: 3
Source: RefSeq, a predicted model, not a curated record